GGAUUGACAUCCUGCGAACUUCUACGAAAGUAGUUGGUGCCUUCGGGAACGCAGAGACAGGUGGUGCAUGGCUGUCGUCAGCUCGUGUCGUGAGAUGUUGGGUUAAGUCCCGCAACGAGCGCAACCCUCGUCCUUAGUUGCCAUCAUUAAGUUGGGCACUUUAAGGAGACUGCCGGUGACAAACCGGAGGAAGGUGGGGAUGACGUCAAGUCAUCAUGCCCCUUACAUCCUGGGCUACACACGUACUACAAUGCAACGGACAAAGGGCAGCCAACUAGCGAUAGUGAGCUAAUCCCAUAAACCGUUGCUCAGUUCAGAUUGCAGGCUGCAACUCGCCUGCAUGAAGGCGGAAUCGCUAGUAAUCGCAGGUCAGCAUACUGCGGUGAAUACGUUCCCGG
This 398-nucleotide ribosomal RNA is filed under the name uncultured Leptolyngbyaceae cyanobacterium. RNAcentral's name for it is "bacterial SSU rRNA". It matches the Rfam family "Bacterial small subunit ribosomal RNA", at positions 978 to 1377 of the family's 1533-position model. The record is from RNAcentral. Lineage: Bacteria; Bacillati; Cyanobacteriota; Cyanophyceae; Leptolyngbyales; Leptolyngbyaceae.